This 468-nucleotide ribosomal RNA is filed under the name uncultured bacterium. RNAcentral's name for it is "partial 16S ribosomal RNA". It matches the Rfam family "Bacterial small subunit ribosomal RNA", at positions 28 to 507 of the family's 1533-position model. The record is from RNAcentral.
GACGAACGCUGGCGGCGUGCUUAACACAUGCAAGUCGAACGGAAAGGCCCUGCUUUUGUGGGGUGCUCGAGUGGCGAACGGGUGAGUAACACGUGAGUAACCUGCCCUUGACUUUGGGAUAACUUCAGGAAACUGGGGCUAAUACCGGAUAGGAGCUCCUGCUGCAUGGUGGGGGUUGGAAAGUUUCGGCGGUUGGGGAUGGACUCGCGGCUUAUCAGCUUGUUGGUGGGGUAGUGGCUUACCAAGGCUUUGACGGGUAGCCGGCCUGAGAGGGUGACCGGCCACAUUGGGACUGAGAUACGGCCCAGACCCCUACGGGAGGCAGCAGUGGGGAAUAUUGCACAAUGGGCGGAAGCCUGAUGCAGCAACGCCGCGUGCGGGAUGACGGCCUUCGGGUUGUAAACCGCUUUCGCCUGCGACGAAGCGUGAGUGACGGUAAUGGGUAAAGAAGCACCGGCUAACUACGUG